RNAcentral lists this long non-coding RNA (8253 nucleotides) under Gossypium raimondii (Peruvian cotton). RNAcentral describes it as "long non-coding RNA (GRAI_LNC011174)". Lineage: Eukaryota; Viridiplantae; Streptophyta; Magnoliopsida; Malvales; Malvaceae. The record is from RNAcentral.
CCAUCAUCAUAUCGACACUAUACAUAAAACCAAUUACAACCAUUUCUCCAUUGAAAUAAUAUAUCAAGAUGACAAUUUUUUUGUUCACAUACCUUUAUGUUACUUGCAACCUUAAUGGCUUCAAUAAUAUGAAUCUGAUCAGGUACUUGAGGGAAUGGUAACACUGAGAUCACAAUAUCUACUUGACGAAGUAUCGCCACAAUCUUUUCAUGUUCCUUCAACUCCCCCUGUUUUCGUACAUACAUCAAACAUUUACGAUUAUCAAAUAUGCUUGCACGCAUACAUACAUACAUACAUACAUACAUACAUACAUACAUACAUACAUACCUGGAUGAUGGUAACACCAGAAGACUGAAACUCUUUAUGCAAGUUGAUCUUGUUGAUAGUGGAUUGUGGGGUGAGAGGGCGAGCAAAAACAAAAGUUGGAUGCCCUAACUUGAUGCUUGCCUUCACCAUGUAUGUGCCUAAGUUGCCGGUUCCUCCAAAUAUGAGGAUUUUAUUUUAGCUUCCCUAUCCAUAUUCAAUUUCUUUUCUUAUGAUCCACACCUUCUUGCCAUGCCCAUAUUUAUAUUGUCUUAUCCACACAUGUUACUAAAAAAUAUGGAUUUUUAAAAAAAAAAAAAGAUUUUUUAUAUCAAAUGAGAAAUUUUGUGUAAUAUAAAAUGUGAUGUAAAAUAUCAAAUCAUUAAAUUAAUUUUUUGAAAGGUACAUUUGAUCGUGAGAUUAAUUUCGAUGACAUUAAAAAUAGAAAUUAAUUAUUAUAGUUGUGAGUUUAAAAUAAAUAAUACAAUAUGUACUUGAGUACAAAUAUAACGACUGUGAUGAGAUUAGAGAACAUGUAUAUGUAUAAUAAAUAAUUAAAAUUAUAUUUAUAGCAUUUAAUGAAAUAUAAAUAAAUAUAUUUAUGUGUUAAAAUAUAAUAAAAAUACAGAACAAAAUGAUAGUUAUCUUAAAUAAUUAUAAAAAAUUAUUAAACAAUAUUUAUAUUAAAAAAAUUAAUAAAGCGAAUAUUUAAAAAAUUGAAUUAAAUAAAGGUGAAUUAAAUAAAGAAUGAAAGCAAUGGCACAAUGUAUGUCAUUUUCAGCUUCAAUUAUUUGAAGAAUUACUGCAAAUUAAAAUAUUAAAGAAACGUGUUAAAAAGCUGGGUCCAUGAAACGUCUCUUUCCCCCAAACUUUCAUAAUUGUUUAUUGUCUGUAUUGAUAUUUCCCAGAAAAUUUUAUGCUACAAACAUGCAUGAGUAUCAUCUGAAAUACAAUUAUGUCUGAUAGCACUUGUAUGUAUUUUUUAAAAUACAUGUAUUUCUCAUUAGUAUUCACGGUGAAAAAAAUAUAAUGUUUUGUUUUAGUGUAUCCGCUAUUUUAGACAACACUAACUUUUUUUUUAAAAUUUGGUCUCGCCGUUGUAUUAGGCGGCACUGUUGUCAAGUUUUAAAAAAAUGUUUUUUUGUGCUACCGAUGUGUCAGCCGACAUCAGUGACCAUUUUUAAAAAUAUAUAUCUUAUUAUUCAAAAAAAAAAGCAAGCUAAUCUUAAAUAUAAGGAAAGAGAAGAAAAAAGAACACCAUAAGAACCAAAACACAAGUAAAAGAAAAUCCAAAAAAUAUGAGUAUUUUGAAAAAUACAUACGGUUGCCGCCGGCUACAGUGAUGACACCUAAAAAAAAUUUUUUUUUUUAAAUCAAUGAUUGACUAAUGAUAAGGGAUGGUACCACCGGUAUAUUUGACGGCACUGACGAACACUGUAAAUUUUAGAUCAUUCUCAUACAUAAUGUGACUUCUUGUUAAGGAUAAUAAAACGGUUAGAGAGGUAGUUAGUGAAGGUUGGAAGGUUAGCUAGUUUGUUUAAGAAAGCAAGUUAUCUGUGAGUAUAAAAACGAUGGUCUGGCUUUGUAUUGAAGCAAGUAAAUAGUCUAAGUUCAUUUUUGUAAACAGAGUUCAUUUGAGUAAACGAUUGUUUGAAGAGAAAUUCUAAAAGUUACCUAGCUUUCUUCAUGGUAUCAGUCGCUAGGAGUUUUUGAUCAUGGCAACUACAAACUCUGCUGCGUCAGACUCUGCUGAAGUGCAUGGCUCCGUGUUUGCUGCUGAGCGUGUGGUGAAUUCGUUUCCUCGCCAUGACGUUGUGAAACUUGAUGAAGGAACAUUCCUUCAAUGGAAGCAACAGGUGAGAUUCAUUGUUAAUGGCUAUGAUCUCUUUGGUUUUCUUGAUGGAUCUAUUGUUGUACCGUCAAGGUUUGUGCAAGCACCGGAUGGUGCGCUCGUUGUCAAUCCUGUGGCGUCCGUGUAUCAGCAAUAGGAUAAUCUUCUCACGUCCUGGCUUCUCUCCACCAUAAGUUCAUCCGUUCUCUCCUCCUUUAUGGAUGUUCAAUCGGCGAACGAUGUGUGGACCAUGGCGUUGGAGAUGUUCGCGGCCGAUUCUGAUCAAAGGCAGUCCCGAUUGCGUCAUGAGCUUCACUCUCUCAAGAAAGGAAGCAUGUCGAUUCGUGAUUAUGUCGCGAAGUUAAAACGUAUAUGCACCCUAUUGGAGUCAUCUGGAACCUCCAUCUCUAUGGCAGAAAGGACAGCGGUGCUUCUUGUGGGGCUUCCAUCUGAGUUUAAAGGUGUCGUAUCGUCGGCUUCGUUGUCUCCGACUCCAUUGCCAUUUUCGCGUCUGGUUGAUGCGUUACUAGAGUGUGAAACUCGGCAUGCUCAGUCAAGCCAAGAGGUGCUGUAUGCUGCAAAUCUGGUGGAAGAUGUGUCCACGGACGGUUCGUCGCGAGGAGGUCGAUCGGGGGCACGUGGUCGUGGGAGGACCUUUCGGCCACGACUCCAAUGCCAGAUCUGUUCUCGGUUUGGACACGUGGCUCAGAAAUGUUAUUAUCGAUACCAUCGUGACGAGUCUUCUCCGGUGCAACCUCCGAUGCCCAGUCAGAUGCCGAAUAUCCACUCCGGUGAUAGUGGUUAGCCGUCUCAAUCAAACACAAGACCUAGGGUUUCUAAUUUUGGUCAACAAUAUUAUGGGACUAAUGAAGUUAAUUGUGCUACAGGUCAAAAUUGCUUUGGGCCUGGUCAAAAUUCAUUUGAUUAUGGUCAAAAUUGGUGUGCUGAAAGGGAAUUCAAUGAACAGCGUGGAGGCCAGCAGGUUGGGCCAAAUGGUUGGUCUAGGCCGAGUGGUGAACGGCGUGAUUUCAGGCCUCCAACUCCUGGGCCGCAAGCUGGUGGGCCGAAUGGUGGUGUUCAUGGCGGGCUUGGCAUGGCGCCUUCUGUUGGGCCGAAUAUUGGGCAGCAUGGAGAGCCAAAUAUUCCUCAUCCGAUGCCCGCAAAUCCUUUUGUGAAUAAUGUUCAGCUCGAUUCGGCUAAACCGAUCGGUGACACGACAGUUCCGUGGCGGACCAAGCCGCGUACGCGAGUGUUUUCAGCUUCAAAUUCGUGUUUUGGACUUCCUAGACUGGGAGAUAUACAUGCGUCUGAUUACUCUGAUCCGUCGAUAUCCAGCUCUCAUAUUAACUCUGAUCGACAUAGAGUGAGUGGGGAUGAGUCUGACUCGCCGAUUCCUGGACCAGUUGGGACGUCGUCUUGGUAUCCUGAUUCAAGAGCCAGCAAUCAUGUUUGUCGGGACCCGUCCAAUCUGCAUCAUGCCAAUCAUUAUUCAGGUACGUCUUCUAUUUUAAUGGGUGAUGGUACACCCGCAAUGAUAUUGUCUGUUGGUCAAAGUGUUUUGCCGACACGGUCUAGGUUGCUUCAGCUAUCUAAUGUUUUAUGUGUCCCAGCUAUUCGGAAAAAUUUGUUAUCAGUAUCUCAAUUUGCAACUGAUAAUGGGGUGUUUUUUGAGUUUCACUCUACUUAUUGUGUGAUUAAGGACAACGUGACACAGGAGGUUUUACUGACAGGGCAUAUUCAUAAUGGGCUAUACCGGUUCUCUAUACCAGAUGGUGUUCCUAGUAUGUCUGCUGCUCAGGUAGAAUGUUCGACUUCGACUGCCGACAGUGAGUUGUUUUCGUUAUGGCAUAAGCGUCUUGGACAUCCGUCAUCUAUUGUUGUUAAAAAUGUUUUACAUAAGUGUCAUGUUCCUUUGAAUAAAGUCUCUAUUAGUGAUGUUUGUACUGCUUGUAAAAAAGAUAAACUUCAUAAGUUGCCAUUUUCGGCCUCCAAUACUGAGUAUACCGAUCCCUUUUCGUUGGUUGUAUCUGAUGUAUGAGGACCUGCUUCAGUUGCUUCUAAUAACAAUUGGUACUAUGUGUCGUUCAUUGACAUGAGUUCUCGAUUUACUUGGGUAUAUCUAAUUCGGCAGAAGUCACAAGUUAUAACCUGUUUUAUUCAGUUUCAGAAACUUGUUUACAAUCAGUUUGGCAAGACCAUCAAGCAAUUCCAGAGUGACUGGGGUGGUGAGUAUCGCGCGUUAGCUUCAAUUUUAGCGUCCCAAGGCAUCGUUCAUCGUGUGUCGUGUCCGCACACUUCUGAACAGAAUGGUGUUGCCGAACGUAAACAUCAACACAUUGUGGACAUGGGGCUUACACUUUUAGCACAAGCGGGACUUUCGAUGGAGUUCUGGGCAUAUGCGUUUACAUGUGACGUUCAUCUAAUAAACAGUGCUGGAUGGUAAGACACCCUAUCGUGUGCUCUAUUGGCAAGACCCUACUUAUGAUCAUUUGCGUAUUUUUGGGUGUUGUUGCUAACCGUUAUUGCGCCCGUUUCAGUGUCAUAAAUUAGAAUUUCGGUCUCAACCGUGUACAUUCUUGGGCUAUAGCCCUUAUCACAAAGGAUAUCACUGUCUGUUGCCAGAUGGUCGCAUUAUUGUCUCACGACAUGUAGAGUUUGAUAAGUCGCGGUUCCUCUCUCCGACGAGUGUGUCUCGGUCACGGGAGGUGAGUACUAUACCUACCUACUUUCCUGUUCUUGAGACUAAUCUGGUAUUGGAAAGGAAUUCUGUUCCUGGUAAUGUUUGUCCACCUAGUGUAUCUGGGUCUCUGAGUCCUCAGAAUGGAGUGCCUGCUAGUCCAACAAAUACUAAUUGUCGUAACACUCCCUCGUUGAAUGAGAUGUUGACUGAAGGUGAUAAUGAUCAUCAUGAUUUCUUGAAUUCUGAAACUCAGUCCUCCACGCCUGUUGUUAGAGUUCCGUCUGACCCUACAGGACCAGAUGUGUCAGUGCCUAAUGUGAAUGUUCAUCCUAUGACCACUCCUUCGAAGGCUGGUAUUUUUAAACCUAAGGCUCUUGCGGUCGAGGUUGUCGAACCAUCAACAAUCGAAGAAGCUGUCGCUAGCCCUAAGUGGCAAGCCGCUGCUCAAGCUGAGUAUGACGCUUUAAUACGGAAUGGUACCUGGGUACUUGUUCCUAUGCCAUCAGGUCGCAAAGUUAUUGGUUGCAAAUGGUUGUUUAAAGUAAAGAAAAACCCAGAUGGCACGAUUGAACGAUACAAGGCACGUCUGGUGGCAAAAGGCUAUUCUCAAGUUCCGGGGUGUGAUUUUCAAGGAACAUUUAGUCCAGUUGUAAAACCUGCUGCUAUAAGGGUUAUCUUGUCCAUUGCGGUUACUAAAGGAUGGUUGCUUCGACAAGUUCAUGUUAACAAUGCCUUCUUAAAUGGUGAUGUUGAUAGUGAGGUGUUUAUGCAGCAACCCCCGGGAUAUGUUAAGCUUGGUUCUGAUGGGCGACCUUUGGUCUGUCGUCUAAAGAAGGCGUUAUAUGGUUUGCGUCAGGCUCCACGAGCUUGGUUUGAGAAGUUGAGAAAUUUUUAUCUGACAGUUGAGUUUGUUGGCUCUAAGUCGGAUGCAUCUCUGUUUGUUCGAGUUCGCUCGGAUUCCACUCUAUAUGUUCUUGUUUAUGUUGAUGACAUUAUCAUUACUAGUAAUUUGGCGUCGUCUAUUGACUGGUUUGUACAGCUAUUGAAUGAUGAAUUUUCGUUAAAGGACAUGGGUGAUUUACACUAUUUUUUAGGAAUUGAGGUUACCAGGUCGUCAUGUGGAAGUCUUCAUCUUUGUCAAUAGAAGUAUAUCCGGGAUAUGUUGAAGCGUAGUGGUUUGGCAAGUGCUAAAGGUGUUCAUACGCCCAUAUUAGCUCGUCGCACAUUUCUAAGAAUGAUGGUGAUUUUUUAUCUGAUCCAACUGAGUACAGAAGUCUGGCAGGUGCGUUACAAUAUGUAGUUCUUAUUAGGCCUGAUAUUGCUUAUGCGGUUAAUCGGGUAUGUCAGUUUAUGCAUCAUCCUACCACAGUUCAUUUGGCUGCUCUUAAAAGAAUAUUACGAUAUUUGUCUGCUACUCUUGAUUUUGGAAUCGUUUUUCGAUGGUCUAAUUCUCUCUGUUUAGUUGGGUUUUCUGAUGCAAACUAGGGGUUGGAUUUUGAUGAUCGGCGGUCUACUUCGAGGUACUGUGUUUUCUUUGGGUCUAAUCCUGUUUCAUGGUCAUCGAAGAAACAACAGGUGGUAUCGCGUUCUACGGCUGAGGCUGAAUAUAGAAGUCUUGCUGCUGUUACAAGUGAUGUUCUGUGGUUACUUUCAUUGUUACGAGAGUUGCAUAUUGGGUCUGUUUCUCCACCAAAUAUAUGGUGUGAUAGUUCUAGUGCAGUUGCAGUUGCUGCAACCCUGUGUUACACUCCAAAUUUAAGCAUAUGGAGUUAGACUUAUUUUUUGUUCGUGAGAAGGUUGCCGAUGGUUCGGUUUUUGUCAGGGAAGUUCCUGCGUCCGAUCAAGUUGCUGAUGUGUUAACCAAACCAUUGUCACUUUCCUAUUUUGCUCGAUUUAGAAAUUUUCUUCGGGUUUUGUCAUUAGAGAAGAUGGAUGUAUGUUAAGGAUAAUAAAACGGUUAGAGAGGUAGUUAGUGAAGGUUGGAAGGUUAGCUAGUUUGUUUAAGAAAGCAAGUUAUCUGUGAGUAUAAAAACGAUGCUCUGGCUUUGUAUUGAAGCAAGUAAAUAGUCUAAGUUCAUUUUUGUAAACAGAGUUCAUUUGAGUAAACGAUUGUUUGAAGUGAAAUUCUAAAAGUUACCUAGCUUUCUUCACUUCUAAAUUAUUUUUGUAAUUAUUUAAUUUAUUUAGGUCAAAUUCAGAAAAAGAAAACCACAUUUACACCAUCUUGUCAAUUUGCUACUUUUUAUAUAUCAUUUAUGCAAGUGUGCUAAGUCCAUGAAAAAUCUCUUUCCUCUAAAUUUUCAUUUCUGCACUGAUAUUUUCAACAACAUUUACACAAUCAUUUCAAUUUGCCAUUUUUUAUCAUUGUUUGAAAUGUGAAUCUGUUUGUCAUUGUUUCUUUGUAGAAUCCCAUCUUAAGUAAAGAACUUGGUUGGAUAUCCGAAUUCAUUAAAAAUUUUAAAAUAUGCAAAUAGAUAUGAGAUUCGGAUAUUUUACAAAUAAAUGGAUAUUCAAAUCCACUGCGGAUAGUAAAUAUAAGGUCUAAAUACAUAAAUUAUCCAAAUCCUCCAUAUUCAAAUCCAUAAUAAACAGAUUAGCUAGAACCACUAAUAUGGCAUGACUAUCUAGUGUGUGUUAAAAGAGGUUACAUUUCUGAAUGUUUCAAUCCAUUGUCCCUCAGCUAUAAUAUAAAUUGGAAUUAUGGAUUGCUUCCACAAACAUGGGAAGACCCAUCUUUGGCCACCAUUAAAGUUCGUCUCUAUGACUCUGACCACAUCACAGCACCACUCUACCUAAGACUAUGGCACCAAGCCACUUGCCCAGAGCUUAAGGAUAAACUCAAGUCAUCUACAUCUCUCCUUUUUCUAGCUUACCUUGAACCACAUCCUCUCAUCUUCGUUCUUGCUACUUCAACCAUCUUAUUUGUCAAAUCUCCGUCCUAUUCUAAACAGAUUGGACCAUCCAUCUACCCAUCAUCAUAUCGACACUAUACAUAAAACCAAUUACAACCAUUUCCCCAUUGAAAUAAUAUAUCAAGAUGACAAUUUUUUUGUUCACAUACCUUUAUGUUACUUGCAACCUUAAUGGCUUCAAUAAUAUGAAUCUGAUCAGGUACUUGAGGGAAUGGUAACACUGAGAUCACAAUAUCUACUUGACGAAGUAUCGCCACAAUCUUUUCAUGUUCCUUCAACUCCCCCUGUUUUCGUACAUACAUCAAACAUUUACGAUUAUCAAAUAUGCUUGCACGCAUACAUACAUACAUACUUGGAUGAUGGUAACACCAGAAGACUGAAACUCUUUAUGCAAGUUGAUCUUGUUGAUAGUGGAUUGUGGGGUGAGAGGGCGAGCAAAAACAAAAGUUGGAUGCCCUAACUUGAUGCUUGCCUUCACCAUGUAUGUGCCUAAGUUGCCGGUUCCUCCAAAUAUGAGGAUUUUAUUU